RNAcentral lists this transfer RNA (79 nucleotides) under Novosphingobium rhizosphaerae. RNAcentral describes it as "tRNA-OTHER". The record is from RNAcentral. Lineage: Bacteria; Pseudomonadati; Pseudomonadota; Alphaproteobacteria; Sphingomonadales; Sphingomonadaceae.
GCCAGCGUGACGGAAUUGGUAGACGUAUCGCAACAGCGAUCCCGGCAACGGGUGUGGGUUCGAUCCCCUACCGCUGGCA